CUGCCAACAAUUUAAUGCUUCAGUUCCUCCAGUACCCUUGAGUAGAUGGCAUCUGGUCUGAAUUUUGGCUCUCUUUGAGGAUGCAUGAUAGAACAGGAAACACUAGAGCUCUGGAUUGACACCUUUGCCCCAAAUAGACACUGGAUUCAUAUGUUGAAGACUUAACCCACAAUGUGAUGGUACUUGGAGAUGAGGCCUUUGGGAGAAAUAGCAAGACAGUGAACAUUUUGUAAGCCAAGAGAGCGCUCACCAGAAACUGAUCACGAUGGCAUCUUUAUCUCUGACUUCAGCCUUCAGAACUGUGAGAA
Long non-coding RNA from Felis catus (domestic cat), 308 nucleotides. RefSeq lists it as uncharacterized. The transcript is spliced from 4 exons. The record is from RefSeq and is a predicted model, not a curated record. NCBI's taxonomy places the organism in Eukaryota, Metazoa, Chordata, Mammalia, Carnivora, Felidae.